UAGCCUUGACAUUGAUAGAAUUUUGUAGAGAUACAGAAGUGCCUCUUUGAGGAGCUUGAAAACAGGUGCUGCACGGCUGUCGUCAGCUCGUGUCGUGAGAUGUUGGGUUAAGUCCCGCAACGAGCGCAACCCUCGUCCUUAGUUACUAACGGUUCGGCCGAGGACUCUAAGGAGACUGCCUUCGUAAGGAGGAGGAAGGUGAGGACGACGUCAAGUCAUCAUGGCCCUUACGGCUAGGGCAACACACGUGCUACAAUGGUUAGGACAAUGAGAAGCAAUACUGUGAGGUGGAGCAAAUCUAUAAACCUAAUCUCAGUUCGGAUAGCAGUCUGCAACUCGACUGCUUGAAGCUGGAAUCACUAGUAAUCGUAAAUCAGCUAUGUUACGGUGAAUACGUUACCGGGUC
RNAcentral lists this ribosomal RNA (406 nucleotides) under uncultured bacterium. Its description in RNAcentral is "bacterial SSU rRNA". It matches the Rfam family "Bacterial small subunit ribosomal RNA", at positions 976 to 1380 of the family's 1533-position model. The record is from RNAcentral.